GCCGCCGCGGUAAUACGUAGGUGACAAGCGUUAUCCGGAUUUACUGGGCGUAAAGGGCGUGUAGGCGGUCUUGCAAGUCAGAAGUGAAAUUCCUGAGCUCAACUCGGGCGCUGCUUCUGAAACUGCAGGACUUGAGUGCUGGAGGGGAUAGCGGAAUUCCUAGUGGAGCGGUAAAAUGCGCAGAUAUUAGGAAGAACACCGGUGGCGAAGGCGGCUAUCUGGACAGUAACUGACGCUGAGGCGCGAAAGCGUGGGGAGCAAACAGGAUUAGAUACCCC
Molecule: ribosomal RNA, 278 nt
Filed under: uncultured Saccharofermentans sp.
Lineage: Bacteria; Bacillati; Bacillota; Clostridia; Eubacteriales; Oscillospiraceae
Description: partial 16S ribosomal RNA
Rfam family: Bacterial small subunit ribosomal RNA
Source: RNAcentral